RNAcentral lists this long non-coding RNA (2359 nucleotides) under Homo sapiens (human). Its description in RNAcentral is "HSALNT0364473". The record is from RNAcentral. Lineage: Eukaryota; Metazoa; Chordata; Mammalia; Primates; Hominidae.
AGAGUCUAAGAUUGAGCUAAAUAUUUCCUGAUCUCUCGAGAAAGGGGGAGGGGAGUGGGAGGAUUAAAUGUUCCUUCCUUCAGGGCAGUGGUUAGGCUUUCUCUCCACCAAAAUCUAACUUUAGCUGUAAAGAAGACUGCAGUUAUGUAGUACUUUGUAUCCAGGGAUCUCAAAGAACUUUACGCAUCAUUUAUUGUGAACCUUGUUUUGCAAAGAUUUCAGUUACUUGAGGCUUGGGAGGCGGAUAGGGGAUAAAUGUCUGAGUUAUAUAUAUAUUUACGCAAGUAAUCGAGUUUGAGGGGAGAGACACAAAACCUCUGGUUUAGCGGUUUCCUCUUGUUUGUGAAGCACCUUCUAGCAGUUAUCUUAGAGAUGUAAGUUCAUUUACUUGUCCAGCACUAAAAGGCCAAAGGGGCUUGUUUUCUCACCCAAAAGACCUUCCUGAGGCAGCUGUUCGGAUACAUGCAGAGCACAGCGCCCUGCUCAGAAAGGAAGGUUCAGAGAACAAAUUGUCGUUUAAAACUAUUGGGACAAACCUACCUCUUCUAAAGCUUAAAAUGGUCUCCAGCGUACCAGGAUUUGUGAAGGCCUGAAGUUCGUAGAAUGAAAUCUAUGUGGAGAUGAUUUAAAAGAACGGUUUCACUGGUUUGCAUUUCUUUCUUUUCUUUUUAAUUAAAAAAAAACAACAACCCUGGUUUCCUUAGGGAUUCAGGGUGGUGUUAUGCAAAAUCGGAAAGGUACACUUGGAGGAGCUAGCAAGUUUAGCAUAUCAAAGCUAUUAGACCAAUUUGUGCGGUUAAAACUGCCAUUCUCAUUUCUCAACAGCUGUCUCCUCUCUGUCCCUUUUUAGAGACCAACACAUAUAAACCAAGUCUACACAAGAAACAAAGGUAAUGGAAAUCUGCUAGUAUCAGGUUUAAAUAGAUCAAAAUAGAGUAGAAAACCCCAAAAGGGUCUAAGUUAUGUAGUUGGGUAAAGGUGUUGAUCUAUUUAGCCAGUGUUAGCUAAAGGUCGCUUGAUGCUGUGUAGACAUACAUAACUAAAGAGCAAUGAAUGGUGUGGGGAAGGUGCUUAAGAUUCAGUUAGAAGAAACUGUAAAAGCAAGUAAAUUCAGAAAAGGAGGGAAUUACCACAUGCCCUUCGAUGCAGAGAACCAAGAAAUGCAGGGAGAAAGUCAGCAAGGCACAGUUUUUCUAAGAAACACAUAUGUGUCCCCAUUUAGUGGUAAAUUUCUUGGGCUAUAUUCCUGGCUGGUUCUGGCUUUUAAAGCAGAUUUUAUGUGAGUACAUUUUAAAGGAAAGGAGAAAUUGAAGGAUGAAGUGAAUUUUUGUGCAGAUUGAAUUUUCUCAAAUAGAAUUUUAAAUUCAUAUUGUUUUCUAGCACAUUCUUCUUAUAACCUUUUCUUUUCUUUUUUCACUUGACAGCUAAAAUCCUUUCGAAAUGAGUUCCUUUAAGUUCUUCAGUAACUAAAUCCUCCAGAAAGGAAAGCCGAGAGAAUCUAGUCCUAUACAAUAACACCCUCUAACAAAGAUCGCUAAAGGAAGAUUUUAGUAGAUGAAUAUCUUCAAUAAUACAUGGUCACAUACAUGUAUCUGACCAUAUGAUGGCUCUCUGCACCAAAUUCCUCCAAACUAUUAUAAUAUGUAUUGUCUGUAGUGCUAUUUAUUUGGCAGUUAAUCAUGUAUUACAUUGUGACAUUUCUUACAGUGAACCAUUAUGUAUGUGUUUAUGUUCUGCCCUCAACUACUCAAUGCCAGUACCUUAUUCUUAACACAGCAACCACCCUUUCUGGUCUGUCCUCACACCCUCAUUCCCAUCAUAGUUAUUCUCCUCUCUCAUGGAAAUGUUCAGUUUCUGGACAUCUCCUUUCUCUUCCAUUCUUCACCUGACCUUCCUUCCUUUCUUGGCCAGCCUGAAUAUUAUAAAGGGAAUUUUAUUUCAAACCCAGGAUCGCACUUAAGAGGAAAAGAAACAAAAGCCAGUUCUUUUUAUUGCACAUAGAACAAGGAGAAACUCCACCCCUUUUGUUGUCUGGUAUGUUUAAAACAAGAAAGAACUUUAGAAAAGUAGGAUAUGAGUGAAAAUUACAACCAAUGUUGAGAACUACUUUUUAAUUUUUUAUUACAAAAUUAGGAUGAUACUUCAUUAAACAUUGUACAUCAUUUCAAAACUGUUAUCUCAUAAUCAUGUUGCUUGUUUUGAAUUAUUCUUUUAAAGUGUAAUUUUUUUAAGCAAAGAAUCCAUAAAAUUACAUGGCUUGGAUGUACCAUAACUUACUUAAUCCUUAUGCUAUUGUUUAAUAUGUGGGUUGUUUCAGAUUUUUCAUGAUUGUAAAUAACAAAAUAAACUUCCUUAUACU